RNAcentral lists this ribosomal RNA (436 nucleotides) under uncultured bacterium. Its description in RNAcentral is "bacterial SSU rRNA". It matches the Rfam family "Bacterial small subunit ribosomal RNA", at positions 30 to 455 of the family's 1533-position model. The record is from RNAcentral.
AGUGAACGCUGGCGGCAGGCCUAACACAUGCAAGUCGAGCGGCAGCGCGUCCGACCACCCUCGGGUGGUCGGAUGGCGGCGAGCGGCGGACGGGUGAGGAAUGCAUCGGAAUCUGCCUCGUUGUGGGGGAUAACGUAGGGAAACUUACGCUAAUACCGCAUACGACCUACGGGUGAAAGUGGGGGACCUUCGGGCCGUCACGCGAUGAGAUGAGCCGAUGCCGGAUUAGCUAGUUGGCGGGGUAAAGGCCCACCAAGGCGACGAUCCGUAGCUGGUCUGAGAGGAUGAUCAGCCACACUGGAACUGAGACACGGUCCAGACUCCUACGGGAGGCAGCAGUGGGGAAUAUUGGACAAUGGGGGCGACCCUGAUCCAGCCAUGCCGCGUGUGUGAAGAAGGCCUGUGUAAGUACACUUGUUGGUAGGAACGGACCGGU